This is a long non-coding RNA of Papio anubis (olive baboon), 1645 nucleotides long. NCBI's taxonomy places the organism in Eukaryota, Metazoa, Chordata, Mammalia, Primates, Cercopithecidae. The record is from Ensembl.
AUGGCCUACACUGACCAAAUCAGAUGUUGUAAGCCUAAAGAAGCAGGGACUGCUCCAAUUUCAUUUGGAAAAUCCAGUAGCAGCCACAUCCAUUUUCUGAGAUCUUACCAUAGGCCUGGGACAAUUUGGCAAAGCAAGAAUGGACUUGUUCAAAGUCUAAGAACAAAGAGGAAGAAGGUUUGUAUGUGUUCAGCGAAGAAAAAGAGAUACAAAUUAGAGAGAAAGAAGAGGGGUCUUGAAUCCAUGGAGCACCGUUACACACCUUGACAGCCCUGGCUGUCUCCAAUAUUUGGGGAGAAAUGUCUUUUCAACACAGAAAUGAGAAAGAUGGCUCCUAUGGCAGAUGGCAAAGUGGUUCCUCGUACGCACUGCCAGAGGUAUGCUUAAAGCUAACAUUUCAAGCAGAAAAAGACUUUAGACAUUGUAUAUAAUCCUCCUAACUCUUUUAAUUUUUACAUAUGAAGAAACUGAAACCUAGGGAAGUUGUGACUUGCCUGAAUUUACACUGCCUGAAUCCAGGGGAAUUAGGAUAAAUGUUCCCCUAACCGAUGUUUCCUCAAAUCUACAUUCAGUACUUUUUUUUCCCGCUACACACAUGAAUUGCUUGCUCCCCAGAAGUAACCCUUCCAUAUGUGGAAGGAGGUGCUUCUUCCAUGUUCAGUAUAACAGAGAUGAAACAAAGUGAAGGAAGCAGGUUUCCCCCUUCUCUUGUAAGCCCACAGCCAGAGCAGCUAAAUUUCUAUACAUUUGGUACAACUCUUUCAGCUGGACUUCAGUUCUACAGACGAAGGAUAUGUAAAGUAAGGUCAAGUUGGAUUAAUGCUGUGCUGCAGCCAAGGCUGUUCUGGGUGCAAAUACCAGAAGCCAACUCAAAUUAGUUUGAGUAAAAGGAGUGCUAAUACCGGAGAUGCAGAAGUACUCUUCUUGGGUUUCACAUACUUUGAGGAGAGUAAAGAAAUAAGGACAGGUUUUACAUGAAAUGGAAAGCUGGGGCCAGGCAUGGUGGCUCACACCUGUAAUCCCAGCACUUUUGGAGGCCAAGGCAGGCAGAUCACCUGAGGUCAGGAGUUCGAGACCAGCCUGGCCAACAUGAUGAAACCCCAUCUCUACUAAAAAAAAUACAAAAAUUAGCUGGGCAUGGUGGCAGGCCCCUGUAAUCCCAGAUACUCGGGAGGCUGAGGUAGAGGUUGCAGUGAGCAGAAAUUGCACCACUGGACUCCAGCCUGGGCAACAGCGAGACUCUGUCUCAAAAAAAAAAAAAAAAAAAAGGGAAUCAAAACUGUUUUCUAUAUACUCUUUCAGUUUUGCAUCUGACAGGACAACAUCUACAAAGAAUAGAAUAGAUGAAACUCUUUGCAGCGGAACCUUAAAAAGCCAUUAUAGGAAAAAGGAAUGAGUAAAAGAUGGCUCAACUAUCAGUUCUUGUUUAAAAAAAAAAAAGCCAAGAUUUUAGAUUAAAACUUUAAUAUGAACCUAGAACAUAUUACUAGGAGCAUAACGCUCACCAUAAGGAAAGUUUUUUUUUUCCCUUUAUUAGUCAUACUAUAUCUAGAAUAUUGGGCUCCACUCUAGACACUAUGAGAAACAGAGAAAAUAAAAAAUUAAAAUAUCCCAUGGGUAAAAUUUUUGAAAACGUAGUUUUUCC